UUGCUUCUGUAGCGCUUAUACUAAAAUUGGAACAGUGAAGAGAAGACUAGCGUAGGCCCUCUGCAUGGAUGACACUCAAAUUUGUGAAGCAUUCCACAUUUUU
Small nuclear RNA from Ornithorhynchus anatinus (platypus), 103 nucleotides. Lineage: Eukaryota; Metazoa; Chordata; Mammalia; Monotremata; Ornithorhynchidae. The record is from RefSeq and is a predicted model, not a curated record.